Molecule: ribosomal RNA, 507 nt
Filed under: uncultured bacterium
Lineage: Bacteria
Description: partial 16S ribosomal RNA
Rfam family: Bacterial small subunit ribosomal RNA
Source: RNAcentral
GACGAACGCUGGCGGCGUGCCUAAUACAUGCAAGUCGAACGCAUUUUCUUUCACCGUAGCUUGCUACACCGAAAGAAAAUGCGUGGCGAACGGGUGAGUAACACGUGGGUAACCUGCCCAUCAGCGGGGGAUAACACUUGGAAACAGGUGCUAAUACCGCAUAAUUCCAUUUACCGCAUGGUAAAUGGAUGAAAGGCGCUUUUGCGUCACUGAUGGAUGGACCCGCGGUGCAUUAGCUAGUUGGUGGGGUAACGGCCUACCAAGGCUGCGAUGCAUAGCCGACCUGAGAGGGUGAUCGGCCACACUGGGACUGAGACACGGCCCAGACUCCUACGGGAGGCAGCAGUAGGGAAUCUUCGGCAAUGGACGCAAGUCUGACCGAGCAACGCCGCGUGAGUGAAGAAGGUUUUCGGAUCGUAAAACUCUGUUGUUAGAGAAGAACAAGGAUGAGAGUGGAAAGUUCAUCCCUUGACGGUAUCUAACCAGAAAGCCACGGCUAACUACGUG